Non-coding RNA from Pelobates cultripes (western spadefoot toad), 529 nucleotides. Lineage: Eukaryota; Metazoa; Chordata; Amphibia; Anura; Pelobatidae. The record is from the annotation of a GenBank genome assembly.
AUUUACACAUGCACCCACACCUCCAUAUAUAUAGUCUUGCCGGGCUCCUUAAAUGAAUAGUUGUUUCCACCACCCACCCAUUCCAGAUGGCGGCCCUUUUAUGGUCUAAAAUUAAACAUAUCUGACACUUCUCUAAAAAACUGUGAUUGUGUUUAAAACAUAGGGAUUUCUAAUUCACAUCUCUCCUCCUUCAUCAACAGGAAACCACCGUGAAAGUCUUCAAUAGACAUCGGAUCAUGAUUUACCGCAUAAAAACGAUGACUGACAGGCUACCCUGGCUCAGUUAUCACAGUGCUGCUGCUGUCAAUUCUAAAGGUACAGUACUGUGAUAACUGAAGGAUGGCAGCCAUCUUAACGUCAAUUUCCCAGCAUGCCUUGAACUCACACCUCCAUUCGAUUUACUUCAAUCUGCAUUAUGUUGCUCUAUGCGUUAAAAAAAACAAAAAAAAACCUUUUAUUUAAUAAAAUUAAAAAAUAUUAAAGUUAUAUAGUUUUCAUUUGACUAUGUCAAAGUUUAGAAAUAAAGACU